RNAcentral lists this long non-coding RNA (495 nucleotides) under Lotus japonicus. Its description in RNAcentral is "long non-coding RNA (LJAP_LNC001840)". The record is from RNAcentral. Lineage: Eukaryota; Viridiplantae; Streptophyta; Magnoliopsida; Fabales; Fabaceae.
UGACUAUCGGUGGCUUGUCCCCUUCUGGCUCUGACGUGUAUGUAGUCUUGCUUAGGCGGCGGCGGAGGCGGCGGAGAAGGUGGUUGUUUCUCUGGCUCACCUUUCAACUCAUCCACGGAAUCUCCCAACUUCACAUGCUUAUUGCCGCAACUAUCAUUCUGUUUCAUAACCGUAACAGAAUUCAGUUAGAAAAAAAAAACCGUUUCAGUGCCGCGAAUUAACUAACUAACUUUCAAUUAAAAUGGAACAAAAUUAGGUGGCAAGCCAACCGAGGAGGAGAAGGGAGGGAGGUUUCUUUUCCGGCGCGGAGGAAGGAGGGUGGAGCUGGUGGUGGGGUCGGGGUCCGGAGGCCAAAUUUCAGACAAGGAGGGGUUGGCGGAGGAGAAUGUGGAGUCGUUGAAGAGGGGAGGGUCCAUUAUUUCAUUCAAUUUUUUGGUGAGGAUUUGGUGGUUAAUUUAUUGGAGUUUGAUGAUGGAGACAGUGAUAGUGAGUGAA